RNAcentral lists this ribosomal RNA (776 nucleotides) under uncultured Neocallimastigales. RNAcentral's name for it is "partial large subunit ribosomal RNA". It matches the Rfam family "Eukaryotic large subunit ribosomal RNA", at positions 24 to 614 of the family's 3401-position model. Lineage: Eukaryota; Fungi; Neocallimastigomycota; Neocallimastigomycetes; Neocallimastigales. The record is from RNAcentral.
UUAUCUCUGUAGAGUCUGCAUAUCAAUAAGCGGAGGAAAAGAAACUAACUAGGAUUCCCUCAGUAACGGCGAGUGAAGCGGGAAGAGCUCAAAUUUGAAAUCUUCAAGGUUUUACCUUGACGAAUUGUAGUUUAAAGAAGUGUUUUCUGUUGGAGUUUUGGUAAAAGUUCUUUGGAACAGGACAUCAUAGAGGGUGAGAAUCCCGUACUUGACCAUUAUUUCCAGCUUUGUGAUACACUUUCAAAGAGUCGGAUUGUUCGGGAAUGCAGUCCAAAAUGGGUGGUAAAUUUCAUCUAAAGCUAAAUACUGGCGAGGGACCGAUAGCGAACAAGUACCGUGAGGGAAAGAUGAAAAGAACUUUGAAAAGAGAGUUAAACAGUACGUGAAAUUGUCAAAAGGGAAGCGUUUGACACCAGUGUUGUUUUCUCGAAAAUCAAUUAAAAAUGGCGGGAUUUUGUGUUGUAUUGACUUUAUCAGCUUUCUGCACUUUUUUCCUGUCUUUUUUAAUGCACUUUUCGUUUAACAAGUCAACAUCAAUUUCUUUUGUUGUAAAAGGAGUCAUUGGAAGGUGGCUUUCUUUUCGGAGAAAGUGUUUAUAGCCUUUGGCCUCUGCAAUCGGAGAGAUUGAGGUCUGCAGCGUAGAUCCUUCGGGGUUAGAUACAUUUGUGCUAAGUUAUAGCCUUUCAUAGACAACUUGUUGACUAUGAUCAGUCAUGUAGCUUACUCGCUUAUGCUAUUUUACCUACGCUUAGGAUGUUGAGUCAUCACACAUCUCU